UAACACGUAUCCAACCUGCCGAUAACUCGGGGAUAGCCUUUCGAAAGAAAGAUUAAUACCCGAUGGCAUAAUAGAACCGCAUGGUUUGAUUAUUAAAGAAUUUCGGUUAUCGAUGGGGAUGCGUUCCAUUAGGCAGUUGGUGGGGUAACGGCCCACCAAACCUUCGAUGGAUAGGGGUUCUGAGAGGAAGGUCCCCCACAUUGGAACUGAGACACGGUCCAAACUCCUACGGGAGGCAGCAGUGAGGAAUAUUGGUCAAUGGACGAGAGUCUGAACCAGCCAAGUAGCGUGAAGGAUGACUGCCCUAUGGGUUGUAAACUUCUUUUAUAUGGGAAUAAAGUGGUCCACGUGUGGAUUUUUGUAUGUACCAUAUGAAUAAGGAUCGGCUAACUCCGUGCCAGCAGCCGCGGUAAUACGGAGGAUCCGAGCGUUAUCCGGAUUUAUUGGGUUUAAAGGGAGCGUAGGUGGACAGUUAAGUCAGUUGUGAAAGUUUGCGGCUCAACCGUAAAAUUGCAGUUGAUACUGGCUGUCUUGAGUACAGUAGAGGUGGGCGGAAUUCGUGGUGUAGCGGUGAAAUGCUUAGAUAUCACGAAGAACUCCGAUUGCGAAGGCAGCUCACUGGACUGCAACUGACACUGAUGCUCGAAAGUGUGGGUAUCAAACAGGAUUAGAUACCCUGGUAGUCCACACAGUAAACGAUGAAUACUCGCUGU
Molecule: ribosomal RNA, 713 nt
Filed under: uncultured bacterium
Lineage: Bacteria
Description: bacterial SSU rRNA
Rfam family: Bacterial small subunit ribosomal RNA
Source: RNAcentral